CAGCUCCGGGCGCGCAGCCAGAGCCGGCCGGCGGCACUGGGAGACUGCAGGCCCUGAGUUGGGCAGCGCGCCCAGCGCCGAGGAACUCCCGUGUAGAAGGAGCUGCGGAGCCACAGCUGCCCCACGGGACGCGGAUGAGACUGUAAAACUCCAUUUGCAAAAAUCUGCUACGGUAAGGAGUGCUCGCUAGCAUGAGGAGUUCGUCACGUCGGGCGUCAUCUUUUGCUAGUGGUAAAUCCAGGACCUGCCUUCGGCAAACGCCGGCCGCUCCCCGGCGCUCCCGAAGCCGCCCCGCCGGCCGCAGAGGAAGGGAAUGAGAAUCGGCCCCGCCGCCGUGGGAGAGGGGACGGGACCCCCCCGGGCAGCCCCGCGCUGGGCCGCGUAAAGUGCAUGAUAUUGCAGGAGCCAGGCCCGGCCCUCCUUGCAAGGUGUUUUGCCAUCCAGCGGCCCCCGGCUCCUCCUGCGCCCCGGGAUAACCGCCUGCUCCGCCAUCUUGUCGGCCUCGCGCUGCCUCCAGGAGCCGCCCGUCGCCUCCUUCCAUCGCUGCCGAGCUCCGAGCUUCAAUCCGUGCUGCAGGACGGGGCGAGCGCCUUCCCACACAGCGGGCCUGGAAUGUGCCACGCUCAGAGCCAACACCACCACACCCAGCAGCAGCGCCCUGCCGGGCACCGCCGCAGCCACGGGAGGACGAGGAGGGACCCGCAGCACGCACAGACGUCCCCAAAACCUCCCGGCACGGAGCUGAGCUGCUCUUCCAACGGCCAUCUUCUCAAUCUGCUCCCGGCCCCGUGGCAAAUAUCUGCUGAGAGACGGUCGCCGCGCCGCCCCGCGUACCAUCACCACUCGCUUCACGGUUCUUUUUAACUUUUUUUUUUUUUUCCUUUUUAAUUUUUUUUUUUUUUUCAUCUUCUAUUUUAAAAGAGAAGCCGGCGAGGUGGGUUUUCUUUUCCGCCAACGAGAGAAGCUGCCCCUCAGUGCAGAGCGGAGCAGCUGGGGAGCGAAGCGCCUCGGAACCGCGCCGGGGAGCGGCCGCAUCCCGACGAGUCGCCCUCCGCUGUCACGGAGUGAUGGACCACUCAAUAUGAGGGGAUCACUGCAGCCAACUCCUGUGCCCGUUACCCCGGGGCGGCCGGAAGCACGCGGGGUAACGCAGCGUUUCCGUUUUCUCUUGGGAGGGAGCGGGGAAAAUCGAAGCAGUUUUGACUUUGACGGAGCCGUGGGAUUUGAUUCUUGGGCUGAUCCACGCGGGCGGCCGGCCCGGACGUCUCGGCUAUUUACACGAGGUUCUGGGGCGCUAUACAAGAUUUACAUUUCCGUUUGUACAGCAGAUGCUUUGAUAGAGUCGCGCUCUCAAACCGUCCCUUCCGGGGCGACAGAAAUCUGGAAGCUCCACAAACCCGGCGUUCCCCUUCCGGAUAAAAGCCUUUUGCCCGUCUCCUACAGAAUCCAAGCCAUUGAAAAAGAAAAACAAAAACAAAAACCAACCAAGCGAAACAACCACCUCAUAUCUAUACACACAUACAGGGCUGUGUGUAUACAGACACAGAAGGAACAACCGAACCGCCGCCACGCGAAGCCCGGCUCUGCCCGCUGGCGUUGGGGAGCAGGAGGGGAGUCGGCUCCCACCACCGAGCACGGCAGACCACCACCACAACCCCUCUCCUCCCCUCGCGGGGUGCAGCCGGGCCUCGCUCAGCCUCUCCGUGUGGCUGCGGCCAGAAAACACCGCACCGCUCUGCUUGUUCUCUCUUUGUUGCUGCGAGAUUUCUUCCCCCGACGCGCUCUGCUCUUCUCACCCGUGUGCUGGAAGGUCAAAUGGAGCUGUGGGAGGUUUCUGUACAUAGAUACAGCGCUCAGAGCCGGCGCCGGGUGGGACAGAUGUGCUGGGUGUUGGGUUUUUUUUGGCCUGCGUGAUGUUUGCCUCUUCCCUUUUCCACGUGGCUCCUAAGCGGCGCUACCACGGAGUAAGAAAGGUAAGGCGAAUUCAGCCAAAAAAAAAUCCAAAAAAAAAAACCAAAAAAAGGAGAAAAAAAAAAAAACCCCAAAAAGAAUAUAUAUAUUUAUAUAUAUAUAUAUAUAACCCUCUUCGAAAAGGAGAGGUACCGCCCGCGUCGGCGCAAGAACCGGAGUGGCUCCCAGCAGCUGAGCAACAGAAAGUCCAUCAGCACCGAAGCGAGGGGACGCGGCGCUGCUGGCGCGGACACACACAGCAAUACAGCAGGACAUCACUGGGACAGCUGCCUUACAGUACAAAAUACAGUACGAGUGUACGGCGCCGGGCGGACACGCAGGAAUUACUAUUGCUCCCGGGAGGGCGUCGGAAACCGAGUCCUUUCGUGAUGGAGGAGAGUUAAAAACAGGAAAACGGAAGAGAGUCCUGGUUAAAAAUUCCCUUCAAAAGGGGCGGCGGGGGGCGCGUGGGGACGGCCCCGCUGGGAUGAGCCGCCCUCGGCCGUGCCUCACUUCUGCCAAUAAAUACGGAGCAAACGGAGCGGGGCGGCCGGGAGAGGGAUGGAGACAAUAAAUUAAGAAGGCAGCUGAAAUGAGAGGGCGGGCGUGCGUGGUGUGAGACAGAACCGGAGGGACGACGACGGUCCUACGAGAGCCUGGGAGGCGUCACACAGCAAUAGCUGGAACUUUGGAAUGAACAGCGGGCUCCCAUUCAGUUCAAAGUUAGGAGUACGGCGUGUUGGCUUAAAAAAAACCCCGCUGUGCAGGGCGGGACUGAGCCGAUUGCUUUAAAAAAUAAAGACCAUUCGAG
Molecule: long non-coding RNA, 2761 nt
Organism: Gallus gallus (chicken)
Lineage: Eukaryota; Metazoa; Chordata; Aves; Galliformes; Phasianidae
Source: Ensembl